Molecule: ribosomal RNA, 392 nt
Filed under: uncultured bacterium
Lineage: Bacteria
Description: partial 16S ribosomal RNA
Rfam family: Bacterial small subunit ribosomal RNA
Source: RNAcentral
AUACGGAGGAUCCGAGCGUUAUCCGGAUUUAUUGGGUUUAAAGGGUGCGCAGGCGGCCAUUUAAGUCAGCGGUUAAAUCGUGGGGCUCAACCCCAUUCUGCCGUUGAUACUGGGUGGCUUGAUUGCGGUCGAGGUUGGCGGAAUUCGUUGUGUAGCGGUGAAAUGCAUAGAUAUGACCAAGAACACCGAUUGCGUAGGCAGCUGACCAGAUCGCAAAUGACGCUCAUGCACGAAAGUGCGGGGAUCGAACAGGAUUAGAUACCCUGGUAGUCCGCACAGUAAACGAUGAAUACUUGUUUUCGGCGAUAUAAUGUCGGAGGCAAAGCGAAAGCGAUAAGUAUUCCACCUGGGGAGUACGCCGGCAACGGUGAAACUCAAAUGAAUUGGCGGGG